This 699-nucleotide long non-coding RNA is filed under the name Gallus gallus (chicken). RNAcentral's name for it is "lncRNA (ENSGALG00010001652.1)". Lineage: Eukaryota; Metazoa; Chordata; Aves; Galliformes; Phasianidae. The record is from RNAcentral.
AAUUCAGAACUGAAUGGAUGUGUUGAUACAGGAGGUGUUCUGGGCAUGAUGCCUGUUCGAUGGCAUGAGGAAAUGGCACCGACUCAGGUCUGAGCAUUCACUCCAAGCUGCAGCACAGCCUCAGGGUUUGAUAAGCUGCGUGCUGCUGCUGAGCCUUCCAAGGAGCUCACCAACAAGAGCGUCGAUUACAGUGCAUGCAAAGAAACCACCUGCGAUCUGAGGCCAGCAGCACAUGUGAAAGAUGGCUCAAUGUGCUCUUCUGCUUGAAGCUGGCUGAGGACACCUGGGCAGAUGAGAGCAAGCAGAGCAUGGAGUAUGCUGGCCCUUCUCCACGUGGGAGCAGUUACUUAGGAUAAAUCUGGGAAACAUGGUCCUUGAUAGCAAGGGCCAAACUGGAGGCUUUGGGCUGGAGGAAGCAUGGAGCCCCAAAUCAAAAAUUGGGUGGCCUCUCUCUCAGCAUGGCAUGGCUCAGUUUUGGUGGGUGUCAUGUGCUUGCGAUCAGCAGCAGCCACAGCCAGUGCUCAUUUACUGAAUGAAAACUACAGCAGUAAACAGCAGCGAAAGUGUGGAAUAGUGUGGGGUGGUCCCCUCUGGGAGUCAUGGGAUGAUGACGUUGAGCAGAGGAGAGUUUCAGCACAGCACAAAGGAAAAUGUCCUGAUGCUGUGCUGGCCCUCAGGGGGAUGGGGAGAACCCCUUGG